Molecule: transfer RNA, 77 nt
Filed under: Limoniibacter endophyticus
Lineage: Bacteria; Pseudomonadati; Pseudomonadota; Alphaproteobacteria; Hyphomicrobiales; Bartonellaceae
Description: tRNA-Pro
Rfam family: tRNA
About the family: Transfer RNA (tRNA) molecules are approximately 80 nucleotides in length. Their secondary structure includes four short double-helical elements and three loops (D, anti-codon, and T loops). Further hydrogen bonds mediate the characteristic L-shaped molecular structure. tRNAs have two regions of fundamental functional importance: the anti-codon, which is responsible for specific mRNA codon recognition, and the 3' end, to which the tRNAs corresponding amino acid is attached (by aminoacyl-tRNA synthetases). tRNAs cope with the degeneracy of the genetic code in two manners: having more than one tRNA (with a specific anti-codon) for a particular amino acid; and 'wobble' base-pairing, i.e. permitting non-standard base-pairing at the 3rd anti-codon position.
Source: RNAcentral
CUGGGUGUAGCUCAGUCGCGUAGAGUGCCGCCCUUGGAAGGCGGAGGCCGCCCGUUCGAGUCGGGCCAUCCAGACCA